Long non-coding RNA from Equus asinus (donkey), 2039 nucleotides. The record is from Ensembl. NCBI's taxonomy places the organism in Eukaryota, Metazoa, Chordata, Mammalia, Perissodactyla, Equidae.
CUAGUUUAAGUUGUAAAAAAAGGGGCUAAGGUUCACCAAUGUUCCCAACUGAAAAGUUUUAUUAAAACACAUGUUUUAGACAUUUUCGAAAUGUUUUGAAAAAACAUUAAGUAAACUUAGUCCACUAAUGCGAAGUCACCGAAAAUUUUUUCCUUACCGAUUAGUUUAAAAAACUUUUAUUACAAAAGUCAUCAAUGCAGAUUCUUCUCUGACUUUGUAUUAAGUUCAGCCAAAUUUUGUUAUGUGAGAUCAUCCUUUAGGUUAUUUCAGCUUGUGAACCGCCAUACACUACAGCUUUCUGCCUCCACUAAACACUGCCAUGGAGGUGGGAAUGGAGGCCUUGGAGGGAAAGCAGAAGGCGUGGAUUUGGCUUCUGGUCUGAUUUUGCUUCAAGAUUCAGAGAUGUAUAGGUUUAUCACGCUCUUGCUAAACUGAAUGACUUCAACCCUUGGUGUCCCGUUUCCUUGUUUUUUCAUGUUCCUUGAAGUCUUGCCUUGCUGUCUUCACCCCUGAAGAAGCAGUCACUUCCUCCAUCAAGCGACUGGCUUCAGGAGAGAAACACACACCUUGGGUCGCCCUGAGAGGGACUGAGGCGUUCUCAGACCGUUUCUGUGGCCACGUGUGCUCCACACUUCUUGUUCCUUCUUGGGAGGGAAUUCUUAAGGUUGUCUGCCUUCUCUGGAUGCUGCAGAGCCAGGCCGGUGCGGGCAGCCUCCCUUUUGCUUUCUCCAGGUCCCAUUGAACGCUGAAGUUUGCAUGCUUUCUCUCCAUCCCGCUCACUAGCCAUCUGCGAAGACUCACCAACCUUGGGUGGGGGUCGGGUGCGCACCCACAGCACCGGCCAGGGGGUGGGGGUGUGGGGACUGAGAUGUGCGCAGCACUGGGGUGUCCGUGGGCCGUCUGGGGAGAUCCGCAGGCAAGCUGUCCCCAGCAGCUUGUGGGUGGGCUUCCUGAUGGAGUCCGCAAAGUGGCUGGUAGAAUGGUCCUUUCGAUGCCCUCCGAGAGCCCGGGCUGCCUUCUCCCAGCCCCCUCCGCCCCCCACCGGUCGUGCAGCACACCCGGCGUUCUGGAUGCGGGGAGAGAGAGAAGUGGGCAGGCUCCCCUACAGUUGGGGAAGCCAGACGCUCACGCCCACGCCCUCACCUCCCCCUUGGGGAGAAAUCGCUGGUGAAAGGGGCUCUCUUGGCUCUGGGCUGUGCGCUGGGGGAGGAGUCACAGGAAAAGUGACACUGGUCCUCUUCAUUGCGUCCAAUCUCAGGUUUUGUUUUGCUCCCACAGUGUGCUGGAAUUUCGCGGGUGUCUGGGAUUCCCACAAAGGUGCUCUUAUCCGCGGAUGAUGUUCAACAUCAGUGUUCGUUGGGCCUGUCACUGUCGUCUACACCAAGGCCCCUCCCUGAACUAGAGAAACAUGGAGCAGUGGAAACGAGGGGCACGGCCACGCCUGCAGCCAGGGGCCUCCACCUUCUAGUAGAAAGAGUCUUGGGAGGGGCCUCUGUGGGGCGGCCCCUCUUUUCCAGGUGGGAGCCCCUGCGGCCCAAACUCCCUCCGUCAACCGUCCUUGCCAAAGAGGCCCCCAGAGCCGGUGUUCUGCCCCAGCUGAGCGCUCUCUCAACAAGUACUUCCAAAGGGCUCCACUAAGGGAAGAAAGUAAUCCCCACAAGUUCAAAAUGGAAAAGGACCAGCUUCUUUCAAAUCUCGACUCUUGUUGACUUAGAUAUUAGAGUGGACUGCAACAUAAAUAGAAAUUUGAAGUGUUGUUCUUGUUGUUGUUGUUUUGCUGAGGAAGAUUCGCCCUGAGGUAACACCUGUGCCGAUCUUCCUUCACUUUAUACGUGGGUCCCUCCUGCAGCAUGGCUGACAAGUGGUGUACCUCCACACCCAGGAGCCCAACUCAGCGAACCCGGGCUGCAGGAGCAGAGUGUGCCAACCUAACCACUAGGCCACAGGGCCCUCAUCCUGAAGUGGCUUUUUUUGGAAAAAAAAACAUUUGCGGGAUAUUUAAAGAUAGUAUGAUAAAUAUAGAGGUGUUUAAGAAAAAU